Glycine soja is the source of this 3644-nucleotide RNA transcript. It is a transcript of the gene named KH domain-containing protein HEN4-like, with no coding region annotated. NCBI's taxonomy places the organism in Eukaryota, Viridiplantae, Streptophyta, Magnoliopsida, Fabales, Fabaceae. The record is from RefSeq and is a predicted model, not a curated record. The transcript is spliced from 10 exons.
UUCUAACUUCUAAGUUCUGAGAGCUUACUGCUUAGGUCACACACUGCAAAGGCGCACAUAGAAUUUCAGAAUUCUUUGCCAGCACCAUUUCUGUCGUUCUCCGCCCUUCAUCGUCGACUCCGGCCGAUUCCCGAAGUUUCAAUGGCGUCUUCUAAGAGGCCAAAUGCGGGGCCCAAUGGGAGAGGCAAACGCCGGAAAUCUUCUGGCGGUUUUUCGCCGUUGGAUGUUUCUCCAGGUAGCGUUGUGUUCCGUUUGCUCUGUCAUGCUUCUAGAAUCGGCAGUGUUAUUGGCAAAGGUGGUUCCAUCAUAUCGCAAAUUCGCCUAGAAACUGGUGUGAAGGUUAAGAUUGAGGAAGCUGUUCCUGGGUGUGAUGAAAGGGUUAUCACUAUCUCGGGUUCGGAUAAAGAGGCUGAAGAAUAUACUGCUGAGCAGGGAAAGGAGGUUAAUGAUAAUGAUGAUGUUGGAAGCGAGGGGAAAGAUGGGGAGGAGAAGAAUGGUAGCGAUGGCAAUGCUAAUGAAGAUAAAGAAGAAAAAGAUGCUGUUCCCGUUGAAGAUUCGAAGAGUGAGAAGGGGAAUUCGGCUAUUUGGAAAGCUAUAUCCCUAGUUUUCGAGAGGAUGGUUGAGGGAGUAGAGGAGACAACUGAAGGGGAUGAAGAAAGUAAUAAAUCUUCUUCCUUUUUUUUGAGGCUGCUUAUUCUUACUGCUCAAGUUGGAUGCGUUUUAGGAAAGGGUGGUAGUGUGAUAAAGAGAAUGGCAGCUGAGAGUGGUGCACAGAUUCGGAUCCUUCCUAAAGACAAGGUUCCAGUGUGUGCAUCAACAUUUGAUGAGAUAGUUCAGAUCUCAGGAAGUGUAGAAGUUGUCAGGAAAGCUCUUCAAUCUGUUUCUCAACAGCUUUUGGAAAAUCCACCUCGGGAUCAUGAAUCCCUGUCCGCCAAGUCUACUGGGCCGUCAUCUCAUUCAUUUGGGCAAUUCCCACCACACAACCAUUCUUUUGCUGCUCAAGGAGAACCUUUUGCUACUGGUCCUCAUGAUAUUUCUGCUUUUCAUUCUGCCCCUCCUUUGAUUCCCAAGUUUCAUGAAGCUGCCAUCCACGGUCGCACGAGGCCUUUACAAGAAAUGCUUACUUUUCGUUUAUUGUGUCCUGUGGAGAGGGUGGGAAAUAUAAUUGGCAAAGGUGGAGCAAUCAUAAAGACUGUGCAACAAGAGACAGUGAGUGAAAUCAAGGUUUUAGAAGCCCCUCCAGAUUCAGAGGACUGUGUUAUUGUUAUAUCUGGUCCAGCGCACCCAGAGGAUAGAGUAUCCCCUGUGCAAGAGGCUGUAUUUCGUGUGCAAACUAGAAUAGCCAAGCCUAUACCCGAUGCCAAUGACCAUACUAUGUUAGCAAGGUUUCUUGUUUCUUCCAAUCAAAUAGGUUGUCUCCUUGGCAAGGGUGGUUCCAUCAUAACUGAAAUGAGGAAGAAAUCAGGGGCCCAUAUCCGUAUAUUAGGAAAGGACAAGGUUCCAAAGUGUGCUUCAGAGGAUGAAGAAGUAAUUCAGGUGAAUGGAGAAAUUGAGGCAGUGCAUGAGGCUCUUUUGCAAAUAACCACUAGAUUAAAACAUCAUUUCUUUCGCGAUUCAUAUCCAUCUGUCAAUUAUCCUUCAAAUUCUCCAUUUCUGGAUCAACUUCCUCCAUUCCCACCUUAUUUAGGAAGGAGGGGACUUUCACCUCCUGGGAUGUAUUCUGACCUUGGUCCUCCACCUUCACAUGCGGGUUUUCCUCUUGAUGAUCGCCCUGCUUUUCUGAAUAAUAUACAUAGGCCAGGCCUUCCUCCUCACAUAUCUCAAAGGAAGCCUUGGGGUCCUCUGGGGGUACUUGAAGGUGGCACACCCAUUGGCUUGCCAGACUUUCCAAGAGGUCCUCCUAGAAGAAUUUCAGGAUUUUCAGGGGGGAGCCAACCAAUUAUCACAAGCACCACUGUUGAAGUUGUUGUUCCUCGAGCAGUGGUGCCUGUAAUAUAUGGGGAAGAUGGUGAAUGCCUAAAACAAAUACUUCAGAUCUCUGAUGCAAACAUUACUAUUACUGAUCCAAAGCCUGGAGCUGUGGAAACUAAAAUUAUAAUAUCUGGAACUCCAGAGCAAACUCAUGCUGCCCAAAGUCUUAUUCAGGCAUUUGUCAUGAGUGAGAGGGAGUCAGUUUGAUCACUCUAUUUGGAUUUUCAUCAUGUCCAGGAUCAGCACUGUUUUGAAGCUUGUAGAAGAUAAGCAGCAGUCAAAAUGGCUUCCAACGUCUCUUGGUAUCUUUAACUCAAGCAAGUUGGUGUAUGCUUUACUCCUCUUCUUUGACAUGUAAGAAUAUUAAUCAUCUGGUUCUUCCAUGCAUAUGUGCUUUUAUCAUUGGACUUGUACGACCCUAUCUGUCCCCCAAAAAAAUGCCAACAGAAAGAGAAAAGACAAUAGCAUUUGCUCUGCUCUAGAAAGAAGAUAAUGGAAAGAGCAUUUCCUCUGCUGUACGUAUACUAGUUCAAGUACUAGAUGAUCCUAAGGCCAUCUCCAUCUAGAGGUGCUUAAAUUCCCUUUUCUUAUCAAGAACCAAUCCUUAGUAAGAUCUUGCAUUGAAGUUUUAUCUUAUUAAGAACAUGUAAUGUCAAUGCACCAGGUGCUUAACUUUUUUUCAGGGUCAUAUAAUAUACUUUUUUUUUUUUUAUCAAAAAUAAUAAAAAAAAGUUGGUAAUAGUUAAUGUUGAUGAAAUGUAAGGUUGCUUACUUAUUUGUGGGACCUAUUUUGGUAAUUUUUAAGUUGAUUGGUUGGAAUUUGGAAAGAGUUGUUUAAAUUGUAAAACAUAAAAAAAGUGAUGUGUAAAAAGUAAAAAAAAAAAAGGAUGCUGGGAUGGAGAUGCUCAAUAAACUGAUAGAAACUAGUAUCAUAACAGUGACAGAAUUUUUUAUUGAAUGGAACUAGGAAGAAUCCCCCUUGUAACCAAUUCUUUGCUCCAGAUAUUUGGAGGUCUAGAUCCGCUCCUUACACUGUUUUUCAAUCACCCAAAGUCUCCUAAACUGUUCACGAUUAUUCCUAUUUAGGCUGAUCUACUAACAUAAACCUAUCCUUAUUGGGCCUAAUCAGUUGCAGGCCCAGUCCCUUCUUUCUAGCAGAAACCCAUGUCUUUCUUUGGCCUAUUAAUCUAACUAUUUUUUUAUUCAUAAUUAAUCCAACUAAUUACCAAUGGAUAUCUAUCUGAACGCACCAUAUUAAAAUUUGAUUUAUUGAAUUCUUCUAUUUAUAAUACUGGUGGAAAUAAACAUGCAGAGUAUAUGCAUGACAAUUGCGAAACGAACAUUUCUAUCGGGCUGAUUGACAUAGAAUAUAUGUAUGACAGUUGAGAAAUGGAGAGUAUGUUAGAUGACCGAUUGUGCAUUCUGACUUGAAUGUUUGGUUCUACAUGGAUUAUUCUUAUCUUGAAGGAUUUCAUAACCAGUUAGUGAAUUUGUAUCUCGUCACUGUCCAGAAUGUUCACUGUGCUAUUUUAAAUGUGUAUGAUGCAGAUACAAGAUUAGUGCAUGCUCCUCUGAAUUGAGUGGGUAUAUAUUGUGCAUGUACUGUAGACGACAGUGUUAAAUGACAGUGCACACUUUCAUACAUCUUAGAAUUAUUCUUGACAGUUAUACAA